RNAcentral lists this ribosomal RNA (219 nucleotides) under uncultured bacterium. RNAcentral describes it as "partial 16S ribosomal RNA". It matches the Rfam family "Bacterial small subunit ribosomal RNA", at positions 1281 to 1500 of the family's 1533-position model. The record is from RNAcentral.
CUAGGUCUCAGUUCAGAUUGCGGGCUGCAACCCGCCUGCAUGAAGUCGGAAUUGCUAGUAAUCGCGGAUCAGCAUGCCGCGGUGAAUACGUUCCCGGGCCUUGUACACACCGCCCGUCACACCAUGGGAGCCGGUAAUACCCGAAGUCAGUAGUCCAACCUCGUGAGGACGCUGCCGAAGGUAGGAUUGGCGACUGGGGUGAAGUCGUAACAAGGUAAC